GAUACCACCAAACACACUGCUAAAUGUCCAGCCCAUUCUUUCUGUGACUUCAAUAACUCUCCCUCUCUCUCGCUCUCUCGAGCUUUCAAUAGAAGCUCGCUGCCUUAUGAUCGAUGCCUCCAACGAGAGACAAGAAAAGGGAGAAGAGGAGAAGGCUUGGCUUCUUCUGCUUGGUGACAGUACUAUACGCCAUCUUCGUCUGCUUCGCCUGUGGCUACCCAGCAGUCGCGACUCCAAUACUUGGUCCGAGGAUCGGCACCGAAGGAGCACGGGAGAAGAUGACUAUGAUAGGGAGAAGACCGACGCCGCCGGAAACGACUUCCAGCGUCCAUGAAAGCAAGCGAAGAGUGCCAACUUGCCCCGAUCCCCUUCACAACAAGUGACACUUGGUUCUUCUCUUUAAUUACUUUUUACUGUGAAGGACGCAACUCGGACACGACAUUACAUUCGCUUUUUUGCAUUUAUGAUAUCGGUGCUUGACCUUACUCGGACUCGUCACAUGAUCACAAGCAUAGAGCACCAUAUGUUCAUAUAUACCUACAGCAAUUAGCUGCAAGCGCAGAGCAGAGCGUCGUCCCAAGUUUCAAGGAGGGGGGAGGGAAAGCCCUAUCUAAGGUUCAUGGCACUGUUUGAAAGGUAGGAAGGUUCUUCGCGGAAGGUAUCUACUCACUGUCACAUGAUGACUAAAAGGGAGCAAGUUGGUCCUCCUCCUUGUCGCCACUUCGCCUCCGAUACCUUUCAAGACUACUACAAGAUUAGGUUUUCUUUAAGCUCUUCGCCAUGUGAAACCGUUAUGUGAUUUUGUUAUUCUUAAGUGGUCUUGGGCUAAUUCUUGGGCUGCGUUCGAGCCCAUCUCUACUUUAGGGCCGAGUUGUCGGCGAGCGUUGCAUAAAAACCCUAUCGCCGCCUCUCCCUUCCUACCGUCUCCAUCGUUUCGCUCUACGAGGAGAAGCGGCGCGGCGGCUGAGUAAAACGCAUUCUCGCCUCUUCUACCUAUUUUAUGCGAUGCCCGAAUUGGGGAAGGAUUCGCGCCCAGAGAUGGUUGUCAGCAGGCAAAUCAAAAGCACAAUUGGCUGGAUAUUGCCAUGCAAUUACAUCUUGCACACUUACUGACAUGAUGAGAAUUCAAGCAGCAGUCACUCACUUCUCCCAAUUUACAACGCCGUGAAGUGCUGCGCUGUUUGAAGAGGGGAAUGUUGCGGAUGCAGAUGGAAUCAGCUUCAUCGCACCCAAGAUAGAGAGUUUGCAAAUCAUAUAUCCUGUCCAUAACGAGAUCUGCCGAUCGAUCAGCUAAACGAAUCGAAGAUAUCAAAGUUCUACCUUGCGCAGCCAAAGUGCCACCAUCUAAGCAGGAGAAAAGCCCCAAAGUCUGAUUGUGCCAUCCUUGUAUCCAGAAUACAGCGUGAGGCCAUUAGUGCUCCAGGUUAAGCUGGUGCAGAAGGGUCUCUGCCAGCAUCGCGCCAUCAAAAAGAAAGCCAUUAGAUGCAGCAACAGUGAACACUUGUCUGUAGAUCAAGAUGAAUUACCAUCACUAGAUUUUUAAUGUUCAGAUGGUCAAUUCUGCAAUCUAAUUUAUAUUUUCUUGAUCUA
Molecule: long non-coding RNA, 1590 nt
Organism: Musa acuminata subsp. malaccensis (wild Malaysian banana)
Lineage: Eukaryota; Viridiplantae; Streptophyta; Magnoliopsida; Zingiberales; Musaceae
Source: RefSeq, a predicted model, not a curated record